RNAcentral lists this unclassified non-coding RNA (555 nucleotides) under Hevea brasiliensis (rubber tree). The record is from RNAcentral. Lineage: Eukaryota; Viridiplantae; Streptophyta; Magnoliopsida; Malpighiales; Euphorbiaceae.
GCCUUAAUGACAAAUCAAGAUGUCCAAAAUCCUCUUGAACACUCUCAUGACCAUUUUUCAUUGAUUCAUAACUCAUCAUCAUCUCUCUUCUUCCAUAGCUUAUUAAAUCAUUAUUUGUAACAAACCUAGCACCAUGACCAUGACCAUGACUAGUAUGGCUCGGACCACUAGGGCUCAACGAGCAAUGAUUAUUACUAUUACUAUUAUUAUUACUAUUACUAUGAUUUGACCAACUAGAAUGAGGCCCGCGUAGGGUUGAACUCAACUCCCUACUCUUCUUGGCUAGGGUUCUUUCGAGUUUAUGAGCAUUCUGGUGUCCUCCUAGAGCUUGUGAACUAUAAAACUUUCUUCUACAAUAAUUGCAAGAAAAAACACGUGGCUCAACCGGGCUUAAAGGGGUUGAUGAUGAUGAUGAUGAUGAUUGGUCAAAUAAAAGAUCAUUUCUUGAUAGACUUAGGUUUAAGGCCGUGUUUGGUUCAUAACUCAUGACUAAAAAUUUCAAUUUCGAAGAAGGAUAAGACGACGAUUAUCAAGAAGAACAAGAACAAGAACAAG